UAACAGAACAAUUGCACAAAAACAUUCCUUAGGGGAAACACCCAGAGCAUAUGGGGCUAAAAAAGAAAGAGAGGAAAAGAACUAAAAGAAGAAAAAUAAAAAAAGAAGCACACAACAUAGGUAUAUUGCAUCUGAUCAGGAUCUUAUACACAAUUCAUGCGUGUUCUUAACAAAUGUACAUGUCAAGUAUGUGCACAUACUAGUAGUCUUUAAUAUUUUGUAUAUGUGUUACCGUGCUUUCGCACAUGAAGUCUUUUCUUAAAUCACACUACUGCAUUUACCUACCUGCUUCCUAUGUCUAAGAUGUGUCUUCUUUUCAAGAGACUACCAAACCCACUCUCUGAUGCCAGAGGUUUUCUUUUAGGCUUGGGAUGUCCUUCAUUGAGCUUCUGAUGCUGAGAUGUGUUCUUUGAGCUUUGAUUCAACAGAAGGAUACCAGUCUGGUAAAUGCUGGUUUGAAAAUUUCUGUUUACUGGUCUCAUCCAAGCUGAGAGUCAGUGUUCAAGCAGAGGCACAGUACACAUCUUUAUAGCAGCAUGAAAUGGAAUUUACAGACUUUCUCACAAACUCCUCCCUUGAUAACUGAAGCUUUACUGGCUUUGUUGCACUGGACUUAAUAUAAUUUUAGAUUCUUUCUUCUGUUCUUCAUGAACUGAUUUCUUACUUUGUUGACUGUAUUACUUUGAAAAAUUCUCUGCAGAAGAAAGUUGAGCAGUUAAAAAGGAAUGUCAGCAAUAACAUAUGGCUGCAAAGAAAGAGAAAUACUGUGAAUAAACAGGCAUGUUGUAUGGGAAUGAACAUAACAUGUUCUGUUACUCUGCAGCAGUAGGAAGUCCAGACUCAAGUAUGAAAUUAUAUUCUGGGCAGUGAACUUCAGUAAGUACAUAGACCACCUAGAGAUGACCCAGAGGUGAACAAAAGGAAGAUGAUCAACUACAACAAUUAAAUAUAUGAUCCAAGAGGAAAGGUUGUGUUGCUUUAUUUCACAGAAACACAAACUGAGAAGGGAGAACGUCUUCAAAUGUGCAAAAACAGGUUGCAAAGACAGAAAGAGAGACUGCGACUCUACAGUUGCAGGAUCCUUUGGAGCCCUUCCUCAGGUAACCCUCCAGAGAUGUACUCCUCAUUGUAAGAAGACGGGGAACCUUAGUAAGAGUAAGCAAGAGAAAUGUAAGGGGGAAGUACAUUAAUUGACAAAUAAAAUGUGACAAUGGUUCUCUCUUCCAAUCGAGCCAGACACCAACAUUUGGAGCUCCAGGGUACCAUGAGGUUUCCACUCACCCUGCCUCAUCUCCAUCCAUCCAUGCUCUGGUUUCAUUUCCACACACUGAGAGAAUGUGUACUUGUUUCUAAUUUGAGCAGUGUGGAAUUUACUCACUUCCCACUAGCUUGACCACAACAUGGAUGAGCUUAUCUCUUUAUUCAUCUGUCAAUACAUCACUGGUGAUAGAGAUGAAUCAUGUGAAUCUCCUUUAGUAAUUCAUCUUACUGCUUUCAAAGGUAUUGUUAUAAUCUCUCAGAUAAAUGCUUAAAUGCAUUUCUGUCAUCAGAAGAAAUGUGAUUGCCUCCAGGCUAGAACAGCACCACUGCAUGUAAAAUCCACACAAAAAUCUUGCAUUUUUAUUAACUGAAAAUACAAAAUCUUGUAGCUUCAUUUAUUGCAAAACCAAAAACCUUGUCAUUUCAAUAAUUGCAAAUAACCAUCUAUAAAAGAGAAAAAAACCCCUUUUUUUUCCCUUUCUGAUUUCUAAACUACGCUUCCCGGAAAUCUCAGGUCUGGGGUCAAUGUGCCUAUUUGUGUCUUGCUACCUGGUGCAGUCUCCUGUCAGGGAAACAUCCUGAAAGGCAAAUAGUGCAGAUGUAAGAAUAUAUUUUUUUCCCUCUCAUAGCAAGAAAAUAUUCAAUUUAUUUCAGCAACCAGUAAGAAACUCUGUAAUUGCAGACCUAUGUUUAGGUCAUAUUCGUUAUCUUGUAAUUGAGCCUUUAAACAUUCAUUUUUCUCCUAAGAAUAACUCAUUAACAGACUUGAUAACCAUCUCUUCAUAAAAAUACAGGACUUUACAGGCUUUAUUCAUAUUGAAGUUAUUAAUUUGUUUUAUUGUAUACUGCCUACUAUUUUGAGAUAAAUCUGUG
This 2133-nucleotide long non-coding RNA is filed under the name Taeniopygia guttata (zebra finch). Its description in RNAcentral is "lncRNA (ENSTGUG00000022400.1)". Lineage: Eukaryota; Metazoa; Chordata; Aves; Passeriformes; Estrildidae. The record is from RNAcentral.